This 237-nucleotide ribosomal RNA is filed under the name uncultured bacterium. RNAcentral describes it as "partial 16S ribosomal RNA". It matches the Rfam family "Bacterial small subunit ribosomal RNA", at positions 118 to 347 of the family's 1533-position model. The record is from RNAcentral.
UGGGUGAUCUGCCCUGCACUUCGAGAUAAGCCUGGGAAACUGGGUCUAAUACCGGAUAUACCUCAUUGAUCUCCUGGUUGGUGGGGGAAAGCUUUUGCGGUGUGGGAUGGGCCCGCGGCCUAUCAGCUUGUUGGUGAGGUUACGGCUCACCAAGGCGUCGACGGAUAGCCGGCCUGAGAGGGUGUCCCGGCCACACGUGGGACUGAGAUACCGGCCCAGACCUCCGUACGGGAGCAG